AAAAAAAUUAAUUCUAGUUUUCUUAUUUAUGUUUAAUUUAUAAUUUAUAUAAAUAUUUUAUAAAAAUUUUAUUAUAUUUAAAUAAUAUAAUAUUAAAUUAUUAAGUUAAUAUAUAAUUUUUUAUAUUUAAAUAAUUUUAAAUAAAGUAAAAUUAAAAUUUAUUGUCAAAAAUUUGUGCCAGCAGUCGCGGUAAAACAAAAAAUAAAUUUAAAUAAAUUUAAAAUUUAAAUUAAAUAAUAAAUUUAUAUAAUAAAAUUUAAAUUUUUGAGUAAAAUCUAAUUUUAUAUAAAAUAUAUUUUAUUUGAUGAUUAUGAUUUUAUAAAUUUAUUAUUAAACUAGGAUUAGAUACCCUAUUAUUAAAAUUAAUAAAAAUAAAUUUAAGUAUUAAAAGUUAUUUUCUUAAAACUUAAAGAAUAUGGCAGUAUUUUAAUCAAUUUAGAGGAAUUUGUUUAUUAAUUGAUAAUACACGAUUAAUUUUACUUAAAUUAUAUUUGUAUAUCGUUGUUAAAAAUUUAUUUUUUAGAAAAAUAAAUAUUUGAGAUGUUUAAAAAAAAAUUAAAUCAAAUCAAGAUACAGUUAUAUUUAAGAAUAUUAUGAAUUACAAUAAAAUUAUUUAAAUGAAAAUUUUAAUUUAAUUUAGAUAUUGAAAGUGGAUUUAAAUGUAAUUUAAUUUAUUUAAAUUAAAUGAUUAUUGUUUUAAAAUAUGUACAUAUUGCCCGUCGCUCUCUUUAAUAAAUUUUAUUUAAUUUUUUUUAAUUGAGAUAAGUCGUAACAAAGUAGGGGUACUGGAAGGUGUUUCUAGAUUAUC
This 808-nucleotide non-coding RNA is filed under the name Lype phaeopa. Lineage: Eukaryota; Metazoa; Arthropoda; Insecta; Trichoptera; Psychomyiidae. The record is from RNAcentral.